This is a long non-coding RNA of Serinus canaria (Common canary), 912 nucleotides long. RefSeq lists it as uncharacterized. The record is from RefSeq and is a predicted model, not a curated record. The transcript is spliced from 3 exons. Lineage: Eukaryota; Metazoa; Chordata; Aves; Passeriformes; Fringillidae.
AGGCUUUGGGAAGAAAACAAACUUCAACGUGUGCACGUUCUCAUUAGGAGCAGGCAGGAGGAGAGCUCCCAUCCCAGCUGGAUGAGAUCCAGGGAUCCCAGGGAUGGAGAGGGUGGAAAUGGGCCUGCAGCCAGAAGAACUUGAGAGAUUUCUGACAAGUCUGAAGGGAAGAGUGAUGGCAGGAAAGGAGCUGCACAUCCUUGAGUGCCUAAGUACUUCCAAAAGCUCCCAGAGUCAUUUCCACCCCAACCCAGAGAUUUCCAAGGAUCCCAUCCAAAACUCAGCAGGAUCAAGCUUUGUUCCUGCCCUUCCUGGUGCAAGUUUACAGGAAUCAGUGUCUGGAGAGGAGCCUCCACCCUCUGCGUGAGAGCGAGAUGUUGUAGAUGCAAACAGGACGGAAGCGCCGCGUAAACCUCGGAGCAAACAAAAAAGCUGUGAGGAAAACAAGAGGAGCUGUAAACUCCAACCACCCAGAGGGCAGGUGGAACUCUGGCAGUGAAGAUUUGUGCUGCUCCUUCUGCAGACUGAGAAGAGUUGAGCUCUUGAGCAAAAGGAUUUGAUUCCUCGGAGUCAAAACUUUCAGAGUUUGUCUCAUGUCCUCACAGCCUGGUGCAGGUGUGAGAGCUCAGCCCCACAACAGGCUCUGUGUUCUCCACAAUGUUCUGCUUUCUAAGUUUUUUCAUGUUUAGAACCUUCCCACCCUCCAGGAGGGACGCCAGGAAGGGUGGCAGUGGUGUAAGGAGCAAAUGGAACAUCACUUGAAGGUAAUUCCGUGAUUGGAUAAUCAACUUUUCUGACUGGAGGAGGAGAACAGGGACCAAUGUGCUGUGUCAGGUCCAUCUCUAGCAACAACUGUGGCAGCAAGAAUAAAAACAAAUGUGCAGCAAAGUGAAAUAAGGAAUAAAAAUGUAU